CACCUUCUGUACCCGUCUGGGCCUGGAGCGGUGGCCAGGCACCCAACACCACCAUGUUCAUUUCCCUCCUGGCCACCCAGGCUGGGGCCUAGCAAAGCUGCCCAGGGACAGCAGGAGUUGGAAGAAGAGGCCAGCCCCGGAUCCAGGACAGGAUGCCAGGCCUGUGCCCAGUGCAGGGACUGACCCCUCAAUCUAUGGGAGCAGGAGCCCUGCAGGGCUCUCAUGCAGCUCGCCCCUGGUGUGAACCCAAACCCCAGAAAGAAUCAACAGAUGGCUGUGGGGCCCCUGCUUCCCCAGGGGUCUCCAUGGAUUUCAGCCCAAGCUCAGAAUGAAGGUUUGAAGGCUCUGGAAGGAGAGGGAGAGAAGGAACCUUCUAGAAACAAAAGCUUCCUGCAGCACAUCGGACAGACCGCAAGCAUCGGGCUCCUUCUCUUCCUCACCUCCAGCUUGGGUUCUCUGGGCUCAGAGGGCUCCUUGGGCAGGGGAGCCCCACUGGCCCUGCUGACGUGGACACAUGCAGGCAGGCAGCGGGGCUUCCCCCUGAACUCCCGGGUGCUGUCCGUGUCAGGCUCCAACUAUACCCUAGUUCCCGUG
Long non-coding RNA from Chinchilla lanigera (long-tailed chinchilla), 594 nucleotides. RefSeq lists it as uncharacterized. Lineage: Eukaryota; Metazoa; Chordata; Mammalia; Rodentia; Chinchillidae. The record is from RefSeq and is a predicted model, not a curated record. The transcript is spliced from 2 exons.